This 269-nucleotide ribosomal RNA is filed under the name uncultured Planctomycetales bacterium. RNAcentral describes it as "partial 16S ribosomal RNA". It matches the Rfam family "Bacterial small subunit ribosomal RNA", at positions 565 to 832 of the family's 1533-position model. The record is from RNAcentral. Lineage: Bacteria; Pseudomonadati; Planctomycetota; Planctomycetia; Planctomycetales.
GAGCACGUAGGUGGGUUUGUAAGUCAGAUGUGAAAGCCUUCUGUUCAACGGAAGAAUUGCAUCUGAAACUGCGAGUCUUGAGUGUAGGAGGGGAGAAUGGAACUUCUGGUGGAGCGGUGAAAUGCGUAGAUAUCAGAAGGAACGCCGGCGGCGAAAGCGAUUCUCUGGCCUAUUACUGACACUCAGUGUGCGAAAGCUAGGGGAGCAAACGGGAUUAGAUACCCCGGUAGUCCUAGCCGGAAACGAUGGGCACUAAGUAGAGGGGUUUU